Molecule: ribosomal RNA, 200 nt
Filed under: uncultured bacterium
Lineage: Bacteria
Description: partial 16S ribosomal RNA
Rfam family: Bacterial small subunit ribosomal RNA
Source: RNAcentral
AACGAACGCUGGCGGCAGGCUUAACACAUGCAAGUCGAGCGCCCCGCAAGGGGAGCGGCAGACGGGUGAGUAACGCGUGGGAAUCUACCCUUUUCUACGGAAUAACGCAUGGAAACGUGUGCUAAUACCGUAUGAGCCCUUCGGGGGGAAAGAUUUUAUCGGGAAAGGAUGAGCCCGCGUUGGAUUAGCUAGUUGGUGGG